RNAcentral lists this ribosomal RNA (1001 nucleotides) under uncultured cyanobacterium. RNAcentral's name for it is "bacterial SSU rRNA". It matches the Rfam family "Bacterial small subunit ribosomal RNA", at positions 508 to 1504 of the family's 1533-position model. The record is from RNAcentral. Lineage: Bacteria; Bacillati; Cyanobacteriota.
CCAGCAGCCGCGGUAAUACGGGAGUGGCAAGCGUUAUCCGGAAUUAUUGGGCGUAAAGCGUCCGCAGGCGGUCUUUUAAGUCUGUUGUUAAAGCGUGGAGCUUAACUCCAUUUCAGCAAUGGAAACUGGAAGACUAGAGUGUGGUAGGGGCAGAGGGAAUUCCCGGUGUAGCGGUGAAAUGCGUAGAUAUCGGGAAGAACACCAGUGGCGAAGGCGCUCUGCUGGGCCAUAACUGACGCUCAUGGACGAAAGCCAGGGGAGCGAAAGGGAUUAGAUACCCCUGUAGUCCUGGCCGUAAACGAUGAACACUAGGUGUCGGGGGAAUCGACCCCCUCGGUGUCGUAGCCAACGCGUUAAGUGUUCCGCCUGGGGAGUACGCACGCAAGUGUGAAACUCAAAGGAAUUGACGGGGGCCCGCACAAGCGGUGGGAGUAUGUGGUUUAAUUCGAUGCAACGCGAAGAACCCUUACCAGGGUUUGACAUCCUGCGAAUCCCUUGGAAACGAGGGAGUGCCUUCGGGAACGCAGUGACCAGGUGGUGCAUGGCUGUCGUCAGCUCGUGUCGUGAGAUGUUGGGUUAAGUCCCGCAACGAGCGCAACCCACGUCGUUAGUUGCCAGCAUUCAGUUGGGCACUCUAGCGAGACCGCCGGUGAUAAACCGGAGGAAGGUGUGGAUGACGUCAAGUCAUCAUGCCCCUUACAUCCUGGGGCUACACACGUACUACAAUGCUACGGACAAAGGGCAGCAAACUCGCGAGAGCUAGCAAAUCCCAUAAACCGUGGCUCAGUUCAGAUCGUAGGCUGCAACUCGCCUACGUGAAGGAGGAAUCGCUAGUAAUCGCAGGUCAGCAUACUGCGGUGAAUACGUUCCCGGGCCUUGUACACACCGCCCGUCACACCAUGGAAGUUGGCCACGCCCGAAGCCGUUACUCCAACCCUUGUGGAGGAGGACGUCGAAGGUGGGGCUGAUGACUGGGGUGAAGUCGUAACAAGGUAGCCGAU